AGAUCUGCUCUUGUCAUAGCCACCUUCCAGACCUGUCACUGGGUCGUUCGGGUUCUGGUUCUGCUCUGCUAACCCCAGAAGCAAACAUGAGGAAGCAGCAUCCAGCUUCUAUGCUGAACAAAUCCAGAACAAACGUCCAGAACACUAGCAAACAGCUGAA
Molecule: long non-coding RNA, 160 nt
Organism: Xiphophorus hellerii (green swordtail)
Lineage: Eukaryota; Metazoa; Chordata; Actinopteri; Cyprinodontiformes; Poeciliidae
Exons: 4
Source: RefSeq, a predicted model, not a curated record